AUGGGCCUAAUGUGUUUUGAGGCUCAAUACGAAAUGAAAGGGAAGAGGGAUCAUUCAGUAAAUCUAAUUUCACAUUUUUCAUGAUUUUUUUGUUCAUCUCUCUCGGUGUAAUCUUCUUCUCCUUUUUCGAAUUCUUAGUUCGUAGGAGAAAUCGAUUAUUGUUGAUGUUGUUGCUCUGUGUUGUUGUUGUUACAUACGCAUGAGAGGAUAAUGAUGAAGUAGAGGGGAAAAAUACAGAGAGAGAGAGAGAGCUUCAGAGAGAAAUCUCAUAGUGCUUCAAGGAGAUUGAGAGUGAUUCAGAAUAUGAUUGUUGAUGAUGAAAUGAAGGUGAGUGAAGGUUAUGUAGAGGAGAUUGUUAACUGAUUCGGGAAAGCUAUGGGGCAGGUUGUUACAAGUUAUGGCACAGUUAGAUUCAAAUGAAGAUCAAUGAAGAAAGUUGUUUUGAGUUAACAUUGUGAAACUGUUUCUGUUAAAAGCUGGUGGGAUCAUGGAAUGGAAUAAUGUUUUGGCAUGACAUUUUGGUCAUGAAGGCAUGAAUCAAGAUUGGCAUGGAACAUGGAGAGGUCAUGGCCCAAAAAGACAACAUCAAGAAUUAUGAAGGUUUUAAACAAACAUGGGAAGGAUUAUGAAUGAAGGAAAAAGUAGAAUUAGGGUUUAAGAUAGUUAGUUGACUUUGGUCAACUGUUUGACAAAAAAAGUCAAUAGUUGACCAAAAUUCAACAGUAGGCCAAAAUGAUGUACUUUUGUAUGGACUUGUAAUGUGAAAUGCAUGUUUUGAUAAUGAAAAUGACCUUUGAAUGGGUUAUAUAACUUGUGUUUAAAGAAAGGUAGCUUCCCUCCAAAAGUUUGAGUUUGAAUUUGAUCUUGUACUUGCAUAUGA
Molecule: long non-coding RNA, 880 nt
Organism: Lathyrus oleraceus (garden pea)
Lineage: Eukaryota; Viridiplantae; Streptophyta; Magnoliopsida; Fabales; Fabaceae
Exons: 2
Source: RefSeq, a predicted model, not a curated record